GAUGAACGCUGGCGGCGUGCUUAACACAUGCAAGUCGAACGGGAAUUACUUUAUUGAAACUUCGGUCGAUUUAAUUUAAUUCUAGUGGCGGACGGGUGAGUAACGCGUGGGUAACCUGCCUUAUACAGGGGGAUAACAGUCAGAAAUGACUGCUAAUACCGCAUAAGCGCACGGAACCGCAUGGUUCUGUGUGAAAAACUCCGGUGGUAUAAGAUGGACCCGCGUUGGAUUAGCUUGUUGGCAGGGUAACGGCCUACCAAGGCGACGAUCCAUAGCCGGCCUGAGAGGGUGAACGGCCACAUUGGGACUGAGACACGGCCCAG
RNAcentral lists this ribosomal RNA (323 nucleotides) under uncultured bacterium. Its description in RNAcentral is "bacterial SSU rRNA". It matches the Rfam family "Bacterial small subunit ribosomal RNA", at positions 28 to 334 of the family's 1533-position model. The record is from RNAcentral.